AUGGGAACCCUUAUGAACACCGAUUCUGAUGGGUGGCGCGCGCAGAUGCAUGCCCUUAUCGGUAUGGUUCCUCCGGAGCCUCGGGAACCAGAAGCAGAAGACAAGAAGAAGGAAAGAGUCGCAGCCGGUGCUCCUUUCACGUGGAUUACAUUAAACUUUGGUACUUGCCCUGAGGAUGCUAAUGAGGACACGGUCAAGACAUAUGCUCGUGUCUACAUGUGGUACGUGAUAUCCAGGACUAUGUUUGCUGAUGGCACAGGCAAGAAUGCUCCAUGGAUGUGGCUGAAGGCGUUGACCGUCUUCGAUAGCAAAUGGAGUUGGGGUUCAGCGACACUGGCUUACUUGUAUCGACAGUUGGACGAAGCCUGUUGUAGGCAAUCUGGAGGUAUUGGUGGUUGUCUGCUCGCACUUUCCAUAUGGAGUUGGGAGCGUUUGCCGGUUGGACGACCGAAGAUCAUGAAGUACGAGGAUUGGGACGACAAAGACGACCCACUACGGCUCCCCACUUGGGCUCUCAAGUGGGACGGAUGA
RNAcentral lists this ribosomal RNA (531 nucleotides) under Triticum aestivum (bread wheat). RNAcentral's name for it is "partial small subunit ribosomal RNA". Lineage: Eukaryota; Viridiplantae; Streptophyta; Magnoliopsida; Poales; Poaceae. The record is from RNAcentral.